Non-coding RNA from Phrynosoma platyrhinos (Desert horned lizard), 72 nucleotides. The record is from the annotation of a GenBank genome assembly. Lineage: Eukaryota; Metazoa; Chordata; Lepidosauria; Squamata; Phrynosomatidae.
ACAGCUGUGGCUCAGUGGUAGAGCACAUGUUUCUGGCGCAAAAGGUCUUGGGUUCAAUUCCCAGCAUCUCAA